GUAGUUUGCUAAAGUGUUAUGAUAGUAAAUUUCUAGGACUAUAUAAUUGUCACUUGUUCCAACCAUGUCCCCCCCUUCAAACCCACCUUCAAUUUGAAUUAUAUGUGAAUUUAUCCAUAAGCAUGUGAAUUGAUAAAAACACAAGUGAAUAGUAAAACCAAAUUACAUGCUUAAUGGGUUUUUAAAAACAUGCAUAAUUAUUUUUAUUGUUUUGUAAUAUGCAUGAUUGUUGCCCACUCUAAAAGAUAAAAGAAUUUUUUUGAAACAUAGAAUGACAAAAUUACUAAGAAAUAUAUCAAAAAACUUCUGCUGACAAAAUUCAUAGUGUGGCAUUUUUACCAGUAUUUAUAUAUUUUUUCAUUCAGAUAAAAACAAACGAAAUGUCACAUGCAAAUGGGGUUCCAGAAGUAAUUGCAAUGUUGGUGAUCUAACAUAGUACU
This 440-nucleotide long non-coding RNA is filed under the name Physcomitrium patens. Its description in RNAcentral is "long non-coding RNA (PPAT_LNC004094)". The record is from RNAcentral. Lineage: Eukaryota; Viridiplantae; Streptophyta; Bryopsida; Funariales; Funariaceae.